GAUGAACGCUGGCGGCGUGCCUAAUACAUGCAAGUCGAGCGAACAGACGAUGAGCUUGCUCCUCUGACGUUAGCGGCGGACGGGUGAGUAACACGUGGAUAACCUACCUAUAAGACUGGGAUAACUUCGGGAAACCGGAGCUAAUACCGGAUAAUAUAUUGAACCGCAUGGUUCAAUAGUGAAAGACGGUUUUGCUGUCACUUAUAGAUGGAUCCGCGCCGCAUUAGCUAGUUGGUAAGGUAACGGCUUACCAAGGCAACGAUGCGUAGCCGACCUGAGAGGGUGAUCGGCCACACUGGAACUGAGACACGGUCCAGACUCCUACGGGAGGCAGCAGUAGGGAAUUUUGCGCAAUGGGCGAAAGCCUGACGGAGCCACGCCGCGUGAGUGAUGAAGGUCUUCGGAUCGUAAAACUCUGUUAUUAGGGAAGAACAAAUGUGUAAGUAACUAUGCACGUCUUGACGGUACCUAAUCAGAAAGCCACGGCUAACUACGUG
This 497-nucleotide ribosomal RNA is filed under the name uncultured bacterium. RNAcentral's name for it is "partial 16S ribosomal RNA". It matches the Rfam family "Bacterial small subunit ribosomal RNA", at positions 28 to 507 of the family's 1533-position model. The record is from RNAcentral.